RNAcentral lists this ribosomal RNA (253 nucleotides) under uncultured bacterium. RNAcentral's name for it is "partial 16S ribosomal RNA". It matches the Rfam family "Bacterial small subunit ribosomal RNA", at positions 524 to 776 of the family's 1533-position model. The record is from RNAcentral.
UACGUAGGGUGCAAGCGUUGUCCGGAAUUAUUGGGCGUAAAGAGCUCGUAGGCGGUUUGUCGCGUCUGCUGUGAAAACCCGAGGCUCAACCUCGGGCCUGCAGUGGGUACGGGCAGACUAGAGUGCGGUAGGGGAGAUUGGAAUUCCUGGUGUAGCGGUGGAAUGCGCAGAUAUCAGGAAGAACACCCGUGGCGAAGGCGGUUCUCUGGAACGCAACUGACGCUGAGACGCGAAAGCGUGGGGAGCAAACAGG